RNAcentral lists this unclassified non-coding RNA (212 nucleotides) under Hevea brasiliensis (rubber tree). Lineage: Eukaryota; Viridiplantae; Streptophyta; Magnoliopsida; Malpighiales; Euphorbiaceae. The record is from RNAcentral.
GGGAGAACCAAUGGGCCUUUGAAUAAAAAAGAAUUAAAGGAAUGAAUCACUUAUAUGUUACUUUUCUAUUGUCGCAUGGUAAUGUUUGAUGCUUGUGUUGUCUGUUAUGUUAAACUCUGUGAUGUUCGUUGGGUGUUAACUUUAUUCUACAAUGUUAUCUUUCAUCCAACUUACCUGACUUCGCCAUUUUUUAUUAAUAUCGGAGAUUGCCU